AGGAUCCAGAGACAUCAAGAGAUUACGGAAAAUCACGCGAGAUAACUGGCUUGCACCUUGUUGGGUUUUUUCAAGGGCAGAGGGGAGAUUCCUGGCGUGCAUCUACUUAAUUUGAAGAAGAACAUCACCUGUCUGUAAUCCACCUGCGUAAGUACUGGUCAAGGGGCUCAUCGGCUAUCAAGUUAUAGAUUUCAGUGGCUAAUAGAAGACACUGCUGAGGUCAGACGAGAGUGCAUCCUCAAAGGUCUGUGUGUACCUAAAUGAAGAUCCAGAGAAGCUGGUGAGGGAGUACAUGGACGUUGAUGAAUGAAAUGGCAAAAGCCGAGACUGUCCUCGGAAUCGUCAUUUGAGCAGAGGGUGCAGAGGCUGCCGAUGCACAUCUGGAUGUUGGGAUUGUCCUGGAGGAGGUGGAAGUUAUGAACAGCUUGGGCAGUGUAUCUUCUGCAAUAGUGAUGCUGCUGGGACUAAUCUACGCACUAAACUUGAGCUACCCUCAAGUUUAGUGCGUUCAGCACUCAACUUGCUCAGUAACUCAAGCAUACCUUUGAAGUAAUACAGAAAAUAAUAAUGAAAUUGAAUGGAAAUAACUUAUCAAAGAAAGCACAAGUUCUCAAUAUGAAACUCGCUGCUAAGUUGAGUAAAGUUUCAUAUGGAAAAUGAGUGUUUAAAGUCUGCAGUAGAAAAGAUUUAUAUUGUUACAGUUCUCUUAAGUUGAGCAACUAUACUGACAUGUUUUAUGUUGUAAAGAAUUGGCUGGGAAAUGAAACUGUAGUUGUUUUUUUAUUUCAAUGUCCAACUCAGCUGUGUUUUGUGCUGUGUAAAAAAACGAUGUAUAACAAUUCUGAAAAUACAAUUGUGUUGUACCUUUUCUAA
This is a long non-coding RNA of Poeciliopsis prolifica (blackstripe livebearer), 873 nucleotides long. RefSeq lists it as uncharacterized. Lineage: Eukaryota; Metazoa; Chordata; Actinopteri; Cyprinodontiformes; Poeciliidae. The record is from RefSeq and is a predicted model, not a curated record. The transcript has 4 exons.